This is a long non-coding RNA of Motacilla alba alba, 1211 nucleotides long. RefSeq lists it as uncharacterized. The transcript is spliced from 3 exons. Lineage: Eukaryota; Metazoa; Chordata; Aves; Passeriformes; Motacillidae. The record is from RefSeq and is a predicted model, not a curated record.
GGCUGAGGGACGAGGGCUCUGCCCUGGGUGAGGAGCUGGUUCUACCCUGGGCGCUGCUGAGGAUAAAAGAGUUCGGUUGCUCGGUUCCCUCGGAGGGGAAACAGCGGGAGCUGAGAGGCUGAGUGCUCUCCCAGCAAAACAGCUCUCUGAGGAAAUUACCAAAGAGCUCAAAGCUGUGCUGGUGCCCCUCACCAGACUGCACAGCAGCAUGUGUCUGCCCAGGAGCACCUGAGGACACCGAGGCAUCAGAUGCAUCUUCACUCACACCAGUGGAUCAGGCAGCUACAACCAGCUCCAUUUCACUACCAGAACAUCCUCCAGCUGGACAGCAAAGCCCUAACCUUAGGAAAACUGUGACCGUGCCAGAAUUUCUGUCUAGCUCACUGUGAUUAAUAGACCUCGGACUGUAAGGAGGGAGUAUUAAUAUCAUAAAUAACACACUUCAUCAGGAAGGUUAAUUUUCAGACUAUCCGAAAGCAAUCUACAGACCCCUAAAAGUCAUAGGUGGGCUGAAAAUGAAGAUAAUUCUCCCAACACUGCCAGCAAAAUAACUUAUGGGGCAGUGUUUUCCCUAGGGAGCUCACAUGUAAGUGCCUAACCUAAGACUCUUAAAGUAAUCAUCUUAUCAGCCCUUACUAUGUCAUCCUGUGCCCUAAAGGAAGACAAAAAUAGACUGUUGAAGGAUUUAUGAUGAAAACACUCCUGUUCUCAUAAACUUGUAUCUGAGCCUCGGUGAAUGGUUUCCUGCAUGCUGGGAAAAGGAAUGAAUUAAAAAUAAAUUAGAAGAAUAUGAAGAGAUCAAAUAAUAGUUUUUUAAUAUUUGUUAUCGGGAUAAUGAGCAUAGCAGAGAAACUGAUUGGAAAGUAAUUUGGUAAGUGAUACAAGCAGAAAGACGUUCAGGAAGAUGGAAUGGAAAUAUCUUGGGGAACAUCUGGCAAAUUAAACAAUUUCAAUUAGGCUUACGAGGAAACAAGGAAAUCCAUGCCAGAUUGAGGAGAGAAGCAUUUAAAACCACUUGGAAUCCUGAUGGCUUCUCAAAUAACCUGUCAACUCAGAACACUGUGAUUCUCAGAGCAGUAGGUAGCUCACAGGAGUUGGUUUUUAAUUUCCCUUUUUGUUUUUCCCCAAGGAUACAUUCUCCUUAAGUAUACAAAACCAAGAUUUUACAGGUACAGUUAAAGAGGCUAUCAUGAAAGAUUAGGUUUAUUGUC